RNAcentral lists this ribosomal RNA (253 nucleotides) under uncultured bacterium. RNAcentral describes it as "partial 16S ribosomal RNA". It matches the Rfam family "Bacterial small subunit ribosomal RNA", at positions 524 to 776 of the family's 1533-position model. The record is from RNAcentral.
UACAGAGGUCCCAAGCGUUGUUCGGAUUCACUGGGCGUAAAGGGUGCGUAGGUGGUCGGGUAAGUUUGAUGUGAAAGCCCACGGCUCAACCGUGGAGGGUCAUUGGAAACUGGGGGACUUGAGUGCAGGAGAGAAGAGUGGAAUUCCACGUGUAGCGGUGAAAUGCGUAGAGAUGUGGAGGAACACCAGUGGCGAAGGCGACUCUUUGGCCUGUAACUGACGCUGAGGCGCGAAAGCGUGGGGAGCAAACAGG